Molecule: ribosomal RNA, 446 nt
Filed under: uncultured bacterium
Lineage: Bacteria
Description: partial 16S ribosomal RNA
Rfam family: Bacterial small subunit ribosomal RNA
Source: RNAcentral
CCUACGGGGGGCAGCAGUCGAGAAUAAUGCACAAUGGGGGAAACCCUGAUGGGGCGACGCCGCGUGGGGGAAUGAAGGUCUCCGGAUGGUAAACCCCUGUCAUGUGGGAGCAAAUUAAAAAGAUAGUACCACAAGAGGAAGAGACGGCUAACUCUGUGCCAGCAGCCGCGGUAAUACAGAGGUCUCAAGCGUUGUUCGGAAUCACUGGGCGUAAAGCGUGCGUGGGUGGGUUCGUAAGUCGUGUGUGAAAGGCGCGGGCUCAACCCGCGGACGGCACAUGAUACUGCGAGACUAGAGUAAUGGAGGGGGAACCGGAAUUCUCGGUGUAGCAGUGAAAUGCGUAGAUAUCGAGAGGAACACUCGUGGCGAAGGCGGGUUCCUGGACAUUAACUGACGCUGAGGCACGAAGGCCAGGGGAGCGAAAGGGAUUAGAUACCCUAGUAGUC